GAUGAACGCUGGCGGCGUGCCUAAUACAUGCAAGUCGAGCGAACAGAUAAGGAGCUUGCUCCUUUGACGUUAGCGGCGGACGGGUGAGUAACACGUGGGUAACCUACCUAUAAGACUGGGAUAACUUCGGGAAACCGGAGCUAAUACCGGAUAACAUUUGGAACCGCAUGGUUCUAAAGUGAAAGAUGGUUUUGCUAUCACUUAUAGAUGGACCCGCGCCGUAUUAGCUAGUUGGUAAGGUAACGGCUUACCAAGGCGACGAUACGUAGCCGACCUGAGAGGGUGAUCGGCCACACUGGAACUGAGGCACGGUCCAGACUCCUACGGGAGGCAGCAGUAGGGAAUCUUCCGCAAUGGGCGAAAGCCUGACGGAGCAACGCCGCGUGAGUGAUGAAGGGUUUCGGCUCGUAAAACUCUGUUAUUAGGGAAGAACAAACGUGUAAGUAACUGUGCACGUCUUGACGGUACCUAAUCAGAAAGCCACGGCUAACUACGUG
RNAcentral lists this ribosomal RNA (497 nucleotides) under uncultured bacterium. RNAcentral's name for it is "partial 16S ribosomal RNA". It matches the Rfam family "Bacterial small subunit ribosomal RNA", at positions 28 to 507 of the family's 1533-position model. The record is from RNAcentral.